RNAcentral lists this ribosomal RNA (279 nucleotides) under uncultured bacterium. Its description in RNAcentral is "partial 16S ribosomal RNA". It matches the Rfam family "Bacterial small subunit ribosomal RNA", at positions 506 to 784 of the family's 1533-position model. The record is from RNAcentral.
UGCCAGCCGCCGCGGUAAUACGGAGGGGGCUAGCGUUAUUCGGAGUUACUGGGCGUAAAGCGCACGUAGGCGGAUUGGAAAGUUGGAGGUGAAAUCCCAGGGCUCAACCUUGGAACUGCCUUCAAAACUUCCAGUCUUGAGUUCGAGAGAGGUGAGUGGAAUUCCGAGUGUAGAGGUGAAAUUCGUAGAUAUUCGGAGGAACACCAGUGGCGAAGGCGGCUCACUGGCUCGAUACUGACGCUGAGGUGCGAAAGCGUGGGGAGCAAACAGGAUUAGAUA